UCUGAUGACUUCUUUAGAUAUUGCUUUCUUCAUGCUUCUUAGAUUAAGAUGACCAAGCUUUUGGUGCCAUAGUUUUACUUCAUCUUCUUUAGUGAUUAAGCAUGUUGACAUAUUUGCUUCUUCUUGGGGAACCCAUAGAUAGCAGUUGUCUUUUGAUCUGACACCUUUCAUCAAAAUCUCACCUUCGUUAUUUGUAACCAAACAUUUAGACUUGGUGAAGUUUACUUUCAGUCCUUGGUCGCAUAGUUGACUAAUACUUAUCAAAUUUGCAGUCAAUCCUCUUACUAACAGCACAUUGUUUAGUUUAGGCAAGCUAUUACUUCUGAGCUCCCCUAUCCCAACAAUUUCUCCUUUUACACCAUCACCAAAGGUUACAAAGCUGGUU
RNAcentral lists this long non-coding RNA (385 nucleotides) under Trifolium pratense (red clover). Its description in RNAcentral is "long non-coding RNA (TPRA_LNC009982)". Lineage: Eukaryota; Viridiplantae; Streptophyta; Magnoliopsida; Fabales; Fabaceae. The record is from RNAcentral.